Astatotilapia calliptera (eastern happy) is the source of this 1026-nucleotide long non-coding RNA. Lineage: Eukaryota; Metazoa; Chordata; Actinopteri; Cichliformes; Cichlidae. The record is from Ensembl.
CACUCGCUGACUGAUGUGUACGCGCGAUGAUGACAUCCCGCUGACACGGCUCCGCCACCUCCCCCGCACAAUGCAAAUGAGCUUUCAUCAGCGAGUGACAGGAUAAAACAGGUGUGCUCAGACAGGGAGACACCAGCAGCUCUGUGCCAGCAGAGAGUUUACACAGGUGAACAGGAGGAGACGCAUUCCAGCUCAGCAGCUUCAGCAUGAACUCCAGCGCUAUUCUGCUCUUCCUGGGACUGAUGGGGACAGCGUUCAGCAGCCCGGUUUGUCCUCAAAACUGCAACCAUGCUCAGCACUAUCACAGGCAGUACUUCACUCAUGUGUCCGACCUCCAUAAUUCUUCAGUCGCGCCCUGGAAACUACAAAACAACUCUAAAGCAGGCCGAGAACCACAGACGAUCAAGGAGGCCAAAUGCAUGCCUUGCAGUGUGGAGAACAUGGUGGCCAGACCAAUCUUCGUACAGAUUCAGGUGUACGAGAGCAUAGGCACGCAUGGGUAUUGCAGCUGUCCGUUCGAUCUGGCGGUCGGAUGCACCUGUGUCGCGAAGGAAUGACGGCCGGACGCCAGGCUGUGCUGAAUGUGCCGUAACAACCUGCUUUUAGUUGCUGGCUGUGCCUAUAUUGAAUGUAUUUAUUUGUAACUAGGAAAUACUGUUUAUCAGGUUAUAUAUGAGUGUGCAUGUAAAAUGCGACCAAGUCAUCGUUUUUUAAACUUACCUAUAUGUCAAUGACAUGUUUGUUUACAUGAGAUAAAACUUCAUGAAUUUUGUGGCAGUGUUGCUCGUUUCAAAGCAACCUGAAUCCUUUUUUCUAGAAAAAUUCAGUGUACUGAUCUGUUCAAUGUGCAUCUGAAUAUCACAUUUUAUUCUUUACAUGCAUCAUGUAAUAUGCAGUAACUUGAUAAUAUCAUAGUCAUUUCAGAAUAUUUCUGGUCAGUACCAAUGUGAAAAUGUUUGUUUUGUAUUAUCAAAAUGCUGGAUUUUUAUGUACCUCACUGAGCUUCAGUAAAACUAUUAAAGCCUC